RNAcentral lists this ribosomal RNA (253 nucleotides) under uncultured bacterium. RNAcentral's name for it is "partial 16S ribosomal RNA". It matches the Rfam family "Bacterial small subunit ribosomal RNA", at positions 524 to 776 of the family's 1533-position model. The record is from RNAcentral.
UACGAAGGGGGCUAGCGUUGUCCGGGUUUAUUGGGUUUAAAGGGUGCGUAGGCGGUCUUUUAAGUCAGUGCUGAAAUACUCCAGCUUAACUGGAGGGGUGGCAUUGAUACUGGGAGACUUGAGUAUAGUUGAGGUAGGCGGAAUUGACGGUGUAGCGGUGAAAUGCUUAGAUAUCGUCAAGAACACCGAUAGUGAAGACAGCUUACUAAACUAUAACUGACUCUGAGGCACGAAAGUGUGGGGAUCAAACAGG